CCACUGUUGAGAAGUCCCACAAUAGGACGAAACGGCCUUCCAGUAC
This 46-nucleotide non-coding RNA is filed under the name Schistosoma mansoni. Lineage: Eukaryota; Metazoa; Platyhelminthes; Trematoda; Strigeidida; Schistosomatidae. The record is from RNAcentral.